This is a long non-coding RNA of Mobula hypostoma (lesser devil ray), 279 nucleotides long. RefSeq lists it as uncharacterized. The transcript has 3 exons. The record is from RefSeq and is a predicted model, not a curated record. NCBI's taxonomy places the organism in Eukaryota, Metazoa, Chordata, Chondrichthyes, Myliobatiformes, Myliobatidae.
CUGUCACUGGUGCAAUUGGCCAGAGUAAUUGAAAGGUUAAACAAAGGAGCAGGACUGUCAAAACUGACUGAAACCAACUGGUACAGAGCUAUCAGAAAGAACAGAAUACUCAAACAGACAAAUUCUGCAGAUGCUGGAAAUCCAGAGGAACACACAAAGUACUGGAGGAACUUGGCAGUUAACCAGCUGGAUGGAAAACCAUUUGAUGGAGCAGAGAAUGAUGUAAAACAUAAUCCCAUGUGGUUGGAAUGCUGAGGACAAACACUUAUCAAAAUAAAG